GGGUGAAGUUUGAGGAGAAGGUGGAGGAGGGAGGAGAGCGAUGGAGCAAGCCUCAUGUCUCCACGCUGACCCUCCACAGCCUGUUUGAGCUCAGGACCUGUCUGCAGACGGGGAGCAUUCUGCUGGACCUGGAGGGCUACUCUCUGCCACAGAUCGUGGAUGAGAUCGUGGAUCGACAGGUGGCCGACGGUCUCAUUCCUCCGGAUCUGAAGGAGAAGAUCAGCUUUGUGUUGCUCAGGAAGCACCGUCACCAGACCAAGAAGCCCAUCCACCGCUCGCUGGCAGACAUAGGGAAGUCCUCCAACGCUGCUUCCAACCGUAGUCCUCAGGUUAAUCUGAGUCAUAGCACUAGUUCUGCUUCUGGGACCAACCGCUCAACAGAAGACCUCCGCUCUCGGCAGCCAGGCAGCCUUAGCCAUAUGCGUAAGUCUCAAU
Molecule: long non-coding RNA, 435 nt
Organism: Anarrhichthys ocellatus (wolf-eel)
Lineage: Eukaryota; Metazoa; Chordata; Actinopteri; Perciformes; Anarhichadidae
Exons: 3
Source: RefSeq, a predicted model, not a curated record